Neopsephotus bourkii (Bourke's parrot) is the source of this 778-nucleotide long non-coding RNA. RefSeq lists it as uncharacterized. The record is from RefSeq and is a predicted model, not a curated record. The transcript has 3 exons. Lineage: Eukaryota; Metazoa; Chordata; Aves; Psittaciformes; Psittacidae.
GUGAGUCUUUGCCAUGGGGGAAACGAGAGGUUUUGUAAAACUACAGCUUACAGGAACUGGAGUCUUUCCACUGAGGAAGAAAAGAACUGAAAAGAUAAAAGAAAAAUAUUUGUAUGCUGCAUCUCUAUGGUUUCAGUUUGCCUGGCUUGAUUGCAGAGCCAUCUUCUGGCUGAAAAUAACAAUUUCAUACUUGCUGAAAGUAACUGCUCAAAUCACAGACCACCUCAUUUAUCUCGGAAUUGUUCCAGGCUCUAUAAGCAAUUUUAUUUCCAUUAGAGCAAUUAUGUGAACCUCAAUCUGCCACCUGCAUGCCAGUCAGUUUUCAUAACACUUCAAGUGGAAAUUAAUACAAAAAGAGAAAAAAAAAUGAAAAAAUGGAUGCUCAAAUUCUAAUACGGUGCAUGUGCAAGAACAUUCUACACUUGUAUGUGGAAAUGGUAAAGAAAGAAAAUAAAAUCAAAAGGACCUUUAUAAUUACAAAAUUGUUGGCUUUGUUUAGUUCUUCUAUUCACAAGCAAUAUUUUUACAUAUUUCUAUUCCGUAAGUAGUGUCUAUUUACAAGCAGAGUAUUUGUUGAAAAUUAAAAUAAUCAGUGUUUGUAAUAUUUAUUUUAUUCUAUCUUGAUUAUUAAUUUCAGUUGAUUUUUCUUUCUGUCAUCAGGGGUUGUUCUUCUUUCAUUUCUAAUUGGAAGUUCGGAGAAGUAGAAUCAGAAAGGACACAAGUAUGAGAGAGAUGAGUGAAUUAAACCGAAUAAUUUGUCAAGUCACAGAUUUAUAAA